UUGCUACUUUUGCCGGCGAGUGGCGAACGGGUGAGUAAUGUAUCGGAACGUGCCCAGUAGCGGGGGAUAACUACGCGAAAGCGUGGCUAAUACCGCAUACGCCCUACGGGGGAAAGGGGGGGAUCUUAGGACCUCUCACUAUUGGAGCGGCCGAUAUCGGAUUAGCUAGUUGGUGGGGUAAAGGCCUACCAAGGCGACGAUCCGUAGCUGGUUUGAGAGGACGACCAGCCACACUGGGACUGAGACACGGCCCAGACUCCUACGGGAGGCAGCAGUGGGGAAUUUUGGACAAUGGGGGAAACCCUGAUCCAGCCAUCCCGCGUGUGCGAUGAAGGCCUUCGGGUUGUAAAGCACUUUUGUCAGGGAAGAAAAGGUUUCGGAUAAUACCCGGAGCUGAUGACGGUACCUGAAGAAUAAGCACCGGCUAACUACGUGCCAGCAGCCGCGGUAAUACGUAGGGUGCAAGCGUUAAUCGGAAUUACUGGGCGUAAAGCGUGCGCAGGCGGUUCGGAAAGAAAGAUGUGAAAUCCCAGGGCUCAACCUUGGAACUGCAUUUUUAACUACCGGACUAGAGUAUGUCAGAGGGGGGUGGAAUUCCACGUGUAGCAGUGAAAUGCGUAGAUAUGUGGAGGAACACCGAUGGCGAAGGCAGCCCCCUGGGAUAAUACUGACGCUCAUGCACGAAAGCGUGGGGAGCAAACAGGAUUAGAUACCCUGGUAGUCCACGCCCUAAACGAUGUCAACUAGCUGUUGGGCCCUUCGGGGCUUAGUAGCGCAGCUAACGCGUGAAGUUGACCGCCUGGGGAGUACGGUCGCAAGAUUAAAACUGAAAGGAAUUGACGGGGACCCGCACAAGCGGUGGAUGAUGUGGAUUAAUUCGAUGCAACGCGAAAACCUUACCUACCCUUGACAUGUCUGGAAUCCUGAAGAGAUUUA
Molecule: ribosomal RNA, 936 nt
Filed under: Advenella sp.
Lineage: Bacteria; Pseudomonadati; Pseudomonadota; Betaproteobacteria; Burkholderiales; Alcaligenaceae
Description: bacterial SSU rRNA
Rfam family: Bacterial small subunit ribosomal RNA
Source: RNAcentral